GGGAGAUUUCCCUUUAGUCAGGGAAGAGUGGAACAUUAAGGUCCAUAAAUCCAUGGGACCUGAUGGGGUGCAUCCGCGGGUGCUGAGAGAGCUGGCAGAGGUCGUUGCUGAGCCGCUCUCUGUAAUCUUUCAGAGGUCUUGGAGAACUGGGGAUGUGCCUGAAGAUUGGAGGACGGCCAAUGUCACUCCAGUCUUCAAAAAGGGCAAGAAGGAAGACCCGCGUAAUUAUAGGCCAGUCAGCUUCACGUCUGUCCCAGGGAAGGUGAUGGAACAGCUUGUGCUGGAUGCCAUCUCCAGACAACUGGGUAAUAAGGAGGUUAUCAGGAGUACCCAGCAUGGGUUCACCAAGGGGAGGUCAUGCUCGACCAAGCUGGUGGCCUUUUAUGAAGAUGUCACUAGCUGGGUGGACAGGGGGAGGGCGGUAGAUGUAGUCUACCUUGAUUUCAGUAAGGCUUUUGAUACUGUCCCCCAUGACAUCCUUAUAACAAAGCUGAGGAAGUAUGGGAUAGAUGAGUGGACGGUGAAGUGGGUUGAGAAUUGGCUGACUGGCAGAGUGCAGAGGGUUGUUGUUGGCGGUGCGGUGUCUGGCUGGAGGCCUGUAACUAGCGGCAUGCCCCAGGGGUCUGUACUGGGUCCGGUCUUGUUCAACAACUUCAUCAACGACCUUGAUGAGGGGAUAGUGACCACCCUCAGCAAGUUUGCUGAUGACACGAAGUUGGAGGAUUGGCUGACACACCUGAAGGCUGUGCUGCCAUUCAGCGAGACCUGGACAGGCUGGAGAGCUGGGCAGUAAGAAACCGGAUGAGGUUUAACAAAAGGAAGUGUAGAGUCUUGCACAUAGGAAGAAAUAAUUGCAUGCACCAGUACAGGCUGGGGGAAGACCUGCUGGAGAGCUCUGCUGAGAGGGACCUGGGCGUCCUGGUGGACGGCAGAUUAACCAUGAGCCAGCAGUGUGCCCUUGUAGCCAAAAAAGCCAAUGGCAUACUGGGUUGUAUUAAAAAGAGUGUGUCCA
RNAcentral lists this long non-coding RNA (1012 nucleotides) under Coturnix japonica (Japanese quail). Its description in RNAcentral is "lncRNA (ENSCJPG00005009465.1)". Lineage: Eukaryota; Metazoa; Chordata; Aves; Galliformes; Phasianidae. The record is from RNAcentral.